AGUGAACGCUGGCGGUAGGCCUAACACAUGCAAGUCGAACGGCAGCACAGUAAGAGCUUGCUCUUACGGGUGGCGAGUGGCGGACGGGUGAGGAAUACAUCGGAAUCUACUUUUUCGUGGGGGAUAACGUAGGGAAACUUACGCUAAUACCGCAUACGACCUACGGGUGAAAGCAGGGGAUCUUCGGACCUUGCGCGAUUGAAUGAGCCGAUGUCGGAUUAGCUAGUUGGCGGGGUAAAGGCCCACCAAGGCGACGAUCCGUAGCUGGUCUGAGAGGAUGAUCGGCCACACUGGAACUGAGACACGGCCCAGACUCCGACGGGAGGCAGCAGGGGGGAAUAUUGCACAAUGGGCGAAAGCCUGACCCAGCCAUGCCGCGUGGGUGAAGAAGGCCUUCGGAUUGUAAAGCUCUUUUUUUGGGAAAGAAAAGAAGCGGUUGUAACCCCGCUUUUCCUGACGGUACCAAAAGAGAAAGCCCCGGCUAACUUCGUG
RNAcentral lists this ribosomal RNA (492 nucleotides) under uncultured bacterium. RNAcentral describes it as "partial 16S ribosomal RNA". It matches the Rfam family "Bacterial small subunit ribosomal RNA", at positions 29 to 507 of the family's 1533-position model. The record is from RNAcentral.